Molecule: long non-coding RNA, 2168 nt
Filed under: Oncorhynchus kisutch (coho salmon)
Lineage: Eukaryota; Metazoa; Chordata; Actinopteri; Salmoniformes; Salmonidae
Description: lncRNA (ENSOKIG00005038971.1)
Source: RNAcentral
AUGUUAGGGGUCUAUAUUAGUUACAGUGUCAUCGUCUCCAGGAGUGCCCAAACCGUGAACAGCACCAUCACCAUGUCUGCCUCAGAAUACAAGAACAGCAGCGUGGAGUGUGUCAGCAGAAAUGUAAUUGGCCAGAUCGAGAUGGAAUUCCCCAUACUACACCAAGCUGAAGGGAGCCUGACACAUAUCCCUGGGUCAGAGAAGAGGGAUGUUGCAGUCUUUCCCUGGAUAAUCGUUGGCUUGUCCCUCAGCCUUAAUGUGGCCCUCCUUGUCUAUCUGACCAGCGCUUGUAAAUGGUAAGAAAACAUUACAAUCCCACAGUUUCAUACAUGAGGACAUACGACAUAAAUUCAGGUGGCAUAAAAUGCUUAUCAUUGUUAUACUGAGCUUUUUUUUAUAAAAAAGUUAAGCAAGGUACGACUGUCUGAGCAAGAUAAAUUCAGCGUUGGAAAAUGUACCCAAAUCUCAUACUUGAGUAAAAGUAAAGAUACCUUCAUAGAAAAUGACUCAAGUAAAGUACUACUUGAGUAAAAGUCUAAAAGUAUUUGGUUUUAAAUAUACUUAAGUGUCAAAAGUAAAAGCCCUCUCGAGUGGCGCAGUGGUCUAAGGCACUGCAUCGCAGUAUUAGUUGUGCCACUAGAGAUUCUGCGUUCAAGAGCAGGCUCUGGCACAGCUGGCUGUGACCGGGAGACCCAUGGGGCGGCGCACAACUGGGCCAGCGUCGCCUGGGUUAGGGCUUUGGCCGGCUGGGAUGUCCUUGUCCCAACACGCACUAGUGAUUCCUUUGGUGGACCAGGUGCAGUGCACGCUGACACAGUAGCCAGGUGUACGGUGUUUCCUCUGACACAUUGGUGCGGCUGGCUUCCGGGUUAAGUUGGCAUUCUGUCAAGAAGCAGUGCAGCUUGUUUGGGUUAUGUUUUGGAGGAUGCACGGUUCUUGACCUUCACCUGAGUCUGUACUUUUGGAUAGCACAAUUGGAUAGCACAUAAAAGGGUUCAAAAAUAUAUAUUUAAAGUACAAACACAUCUAAAAUUCAUUAUAUUAAGCAAACCAGGCCGCACAAUUGUCUUGUUUUCUUUAUUUACGGAUAGCCAGGGUCACACUCCAACACUCAGACAUAAUUUACAAACAAAGCAUUUGUGUUUUAGUGAGUCCGCCAGAUCAGUGGCAGUAGGGAUGACCAGAGAUGUUCUCUUGAUAAGUGUGCGAAUUUGACAAUUUUCUGUCCUGCUAAGCAUUCAAAAUGUAACUAGUCCUUUUGGGGGUCAGGGAAAAUGUAUGGAGUAAAAGUACAUAAUUUCCUUUAGGAAUGUAGUGAAGUAAAAGUAAAAGUCGUCAAAAAUAUGAACACUAAAGUAAAGUACAGAUACCCCCAAAAAGUAGUACUUUAAAGUAUUUUUUACUUCAGUGCUCUAGACCACUGGGUAAAUUAUAAUCCAGGAAAGCUUUUUAGCUCUGUUUGGCUAACUGAAAGUUGCAACUAGAGAAUGCCUAACCUCUCUAACCGACUAGCGGAGAGUUGACAGUUCUAAUGCCUGGUCCGAUGGGAAAAGUCUGGUGGAAAGUCAACUAGCAACCGGAGGGUUGCUGGUAUCAAAUCCUUGAUGCCAUUGCCUGCGGUUGUGUCCUUGAAAAUCGCCACAAAACAACAGCUCCCCAAACAACAGCCCCCGUACAGUUCCAGCUAAGCAGACUAACGUUAUAUAGCUAAUUAAUUUGCUAGCUAUCAUGCAGUAGGCGUAUAUUAAUAAUGAUAUAUUUAAUAUAAGUACACAUGCACUCGUAAUUGACUGUAGUGCAUAUACAGUAAAGCACCCACAAGCUACCGAUGGCUGAAAACACAAUCAUCGCGGGACGAACGAGUGACAAAUUUCCGGCCAAGGGUGGUCCAUUUAAAAAUCCUCCCUUCAUCCCUCGCCCCUUUCCCUGCAAGUGUAUACUCGUCAGACGUCAUAAUACGUCAUUAGAAGUGUCCACUUAAUUUGAAGGCUGAGAGGAUAGGAUUUGUCUUUUAAGUGUUCGGACUACAGGCCAUAUCCCCUCAGCCCUCCAAUUACACUUACAGGGCAAGGGGCGAGGAAGGAAGGAAUUAUUCUUAAAAACUUCUUGAUGCACCCAUCCCGUUCGCGGAAUCAUUUUCGUCAGCAUCUGCUGAAUUUCAGAGCUCC